CCGCAAUCGCCCUUCGGGGUGCGCAGGCGCGAAAACUUUACAAUGUGCGAAAGCGUGAUAAGGGAAUUCCAAGUGCUUGGCCUUUGAGUCAAGCUUUUACUGAGUGUAAAAAUCUCAGAGAAUAAGUGGUGGGUAAGACGGGUGCCAGCCGCCGCGGUAACACCUGCGCCACGAGUGGGAGCCACUUUUAUUGGGUCUAAAGCGUUCGUAGCUGGAGUAUUAAGUCUCUUGUGAAAUUGUUGCGCUUAACGUAACAUCGUGCAAGGGAAACUAAUACCCUAGAGACUGGGAAGAGAUAGAAGUAUUCCAGGGGGAGCGGUUAAAUGUUAUAAUCCUUGGAAGACUACCUGUGGCGAAGGCGUCUAUCUAGAACAGGUCUGACAGUGAGGGACGAAGGCUAGGGGAGCAAAACGGAUUAGAUACCCGAGUAGUCCUAGCAGUAAACUCUGUGAACUAUGUGUUGCACAAUCUUAGAGAUUGUGCAGUGCCUAAGCGAAGGCGUUAAGUUCACCACCUGGGAAGUACGGCCGCAAGACUGAAACUUAAAGGAAUUGGCGGGGGAGCAC
This 566-nucleotide ribosomal RNA is filed under the name uncultured archaeon. Its description in RNAcentral is "bacterial SSU rRNA". It matches the Rfam family "Archaeal small subunit ribosomal RNA", at positions 312 to 879 of the family's 1478-position model. The record is from RNAcentral.